Molecule: long non-coding RNA, 887 nt
Filed under: Physcomitrium patens
Lineage: Eukaryota; Viridiplantae; Streptophyta; Bryopsida; Funariales; Funariaceae
Description: long non-coding RNA (PPAT_LNC000482)
Source: RNAcentral
UAGGAUUUGGUUUAGGAUUUAGGAUUUGAUUUAGGAUUUAGGAUUUGGUUUAGGAUUUAGGAUUUGGUUUAGAAUUUAGGAUUUUAUUAGGAUUAAUUAGGAUUAAUAUUUGAUUAGGAUUUGAUUUAGGAUUUGGGAUUUAGGAUUUAAUUAGGAUUUGAUUUAGGAUUUAGGGUUUAGAAUUUGGUUAGGAUUUGGUUUAGGAUUUAGGAUUUGAUUAAGAUUUAGUUUAGGAUUUAGGAUUUGAUUAAGAUUUAAGAUUUGAUUAGAGUUUGGUUUGGGAUUUAGGAUUUGAUUAGAAUUUGGUUUGGGAUUUAGGAUUUGAUUAGGAUUUGAUUUAAGAUUUAAGAUUUGAUUUAGGAUUUAGAAUUUUAUUAAGAUUUAUUAAGAAUAAGAUUUGAUUAAGGAUUUGGUUUAGGAUUUAGGAUUUGGUUAGGAUUUGAUUUAGGAUUUAGGAUUCAGAUUUUGGUUAGAAUUUGGUUUAGGAUUUAGAAUUUGAUUAGGAUUUGGUUUAGGAUUUGAUUAGGAUUUAAGAUUUGAUUAGGAUUUAGGAUUUUAUUAGGAUUUGAUUUAAGAUUUAAGAUUUGGUUAGGAUUUGAUUUAGGGUUUAGAAUUUUAUUAGGAUUUGGAUUAGGAUUUAGGAUUUGAUUAGAAUUUGAUUCAGGAUUUAAGAUUUGAUUAGGAUUUGAUUUAGGAUUUAGGAUUUGAUUAGGAUUUAAUUAGGAUUUAAGAUUUCAUUAAGAAUUGAUUAGGAUUUAUUUAGGAUUUAAGCUUUAGUUAGUUUUUGGCUUAAAUUUUGAUUGAAGUCUAAUAGGAUUUUAAUUGGGAUUAAAUUAUGAUUGAAUUGAGAUUUAUUUGAGAUAUAUUUGUGAUUAUUUUAAUAUUUU